CCCGGGGUGAAAAAACUGCCCUUAGUCCCGCCUUGGUGCCCCAUUGGUUAAGAGUGACAGUCAGUCACACAGUGCAUGCAGCCAAUUGACACACCUGCUGUAAUUAUUUAGGCUUGCUCCAGCUUUCCCCAGUCAGGUGUGAGGGGGAGAGCUGGAGACAAAGGAGCUACAGGUUGGUGUUUCCAAACAAUCAGUUACCUCUUUGUUUGUUAUGCACUUUUUUUAACCUUCCAAUAUAAAAAUCAUGUAGAUCUGAAAAGAUCCAGUGAGUUUGGAGCCUUGAAGCUGCCAUGCUCUCUACUGUUAAUGGAAUUGGCCAGGUGAUCCCUUUGUAGGGUUAAAGGAUGGCGAGCUUCUGAAAACUGGCUGGGGCCAGGAGAACCUGAGAAUCACUCCAUACUGGUCUGGUAGGAGGCUGGUCUGUAUCAUUUCCCCCUCCAUCUCACCAUUCGGACACACAAUCCACUAUUCAUCUCUUCAUCUGAAACGACUUGCGCUAGGACAUUGUCAUCUCAAAUAUCUGGACAAUUCAACCAUGGACUUUUUGAAUGUGUGUAGGUCAGACACUGUGCUGACCAGUGGGGAAAUUUAAACCAGUUGUGCACAACUUAAUGAAAGAUCUACUGCAGUACUGUGUAUAUUUAAUUUGGGGUUCUAUGUAUGUUUGUCUUGUGCUGUUCACUUUAAUUUUCUUUUAAAAAUACAUGGUAUUGAAAGCA
This is a non-coding RNA of Poecilia reticulata (guppy), 719 nucleotides long. NCBI's taxonomy places the organism in Eukaryota, Metazoa, Chordata, Actinopteri, Cyprinodontiformes, Poeciliidae. The record is from RefSeq and is a predicted model, not a curated record.